RNAcentral lists this small RNA (29 nucleotides) under Bombyx mori (domestic silkworm). RNAcentral describes it as "ovarian small RNA-16446". Lineage: Eukaryota; Metazoa; Arthropoda; Insecta; Lepidoptera; Bombycidae. The record is from RNAcentral.
GCACUGGUUAAAAACCUUCGUUUUCAGGC